AACGAACGCUGGCGGCAUGCCUAACACAUGCAAGUCGAACGAGAUCUUCGGAUCUAGUGGUGCACGGGUGCGUAACGCGUGGGAAUCUGCCCCUUGCUUCGGAAUAACAGUGAGAAAUUACUGCUAAUACCGGAUGAUGUCUCCGGACCAAAGAUUUAUCGGCAAGGGAUGAGCCCGCGUAGGAUUAGGUAGUUGGUGGGGUAAUGGCCUACCAAGCCGACGAUCCUUAGCUGGUCUGAGAGGAUGAUCAGCCACACUGGGACUGAGACACGGCCCAGACUCCUACGGGAGGCAGCAGUGGGGAAUAUUGGACAAUGGGCGAAAGCCUGAUCCAGCAAUGCCGCGUGAGUGAUGAAGGCCUUAGGGUUGUAAAGCUCUUUUACCAGGGAUGAUAAUGACAGUACCUGGAGAAUAAGCUCCGGCUAACUCCGUG
This 433-nucleotide ribosomal RNA is filed under the name uncultured bacterium. RNAcentral's name for it is "partial 16S ribosomal RNA". It matches the Rfam family "Bacterial small subunit ribosomal RNA", at positions 29 to 507 of the family's 1533-position model. The record is from RNAcentral.